This is a long non-coding RNA of Schistocerca gregaria, 421 nucleotides long. RefSeq lists it as uncharacterized. Lineage: Eukaryota; Metazoa; Arthropoda; Insecta; Orthoptera; Acrididae. The transcript is spliced from 2 exons. The record is from RefSeq and is a predicted model, not a curated record.
UAAGCCGUAGGCAGACGUCUUACUGUAUCACUGAAGAUGGCUAUCUCUACCAGAACCAUUCUCCUUCUUUGCUUGGCCUUUGCGGUUGUGGCGGCGGUGCCGCAGGAGUCUGCUGACGCAGCGCCACCAGCGGUCCCUAGCGGGGGUGCCGCCGGCAACCAGGAGCCGGUGCAGCCGGUGGCGGUGGCCGGUGACCAGCCGUUACAAGACCGCUGGGGGAUAUCUGUUUCCUUCAACACCCGCUGAACAGACUGUUGGCACAUCCAAGAAACAGGCUACUUCAUUGUCAACUUCUCUAUUUCUUGCACAGUUGAAACAUUAACACUAGUACUGCUGUUGCAUCAAGAGCUACCUUUUCUUUUUCAAAACUAUAGAUGGACAUGCGUUACAAACGAAUGAAUAAAUUUUAGCAUUCGUAAAA